AACUGUCGAGUCUUGCUUUUUGCUUUUUGAAGCCUUUGGUCUAGAAAUUAUGUGAAACAGCCACAAGAAUUAACGAUUCCUUUAAAGUUAACCACCAUUUAGGUUCAACUUCGAUUAGCCUUGAUCAGUGUUGCAUUAACUUUGUCCAGGGCCUCUGGUGUUGGAGGGGACUUGAACUUUUUGGUAUAAAUUUCUAAAGUGGUCUAGGGGCCCUAGACUUUACUGGAAAAGGUUGGAAAAGCAUGAUCAAGUUCCAGCUGUUGGAUCAAUUAUUCGGGCAAGUCAAUGCUUCUACGAUUUUUCGACAAAAAAUGAUCAUUAUAUAAUACCUAAAGUGAGUUCAAUUCAACAGCAUAACAAAUAUGGUUAACAAAAAUCGUCUUUGAAAAUUUGGAAGCAUGAAAGCAAUGAAAACUGAAUGGGGGCACAAGGAAACUGCGUCUUGCUGUCCAUAGAGGAAGGAUAUUAGAAUUGAGAUUCUCGUCUUCAUUCUCAAGUUCAGUGAAGUCAUCAUCAGAAUCAUCAUCACUUAAAAGCAAACGCCUUCGAUAUUCAUUCAUAGAAGCCCCUUCACUUGGAUUUUCUGGGGACACAGAUGCAAUCUGAAUCUCUUCUUCACUUUUUAUCAACUUUGGAAAUCUUGAUAUGUCGAAGAUCACUGCAAAGAUGGACAAUAGCAUUACUUUUCUGUGUAACCUGUCGCAUUUGUGCUGAUUUUCUUGGAAAGUGUUACCAGAAUGUUAAGUUGAUGUAUGUAAUUACCUACACAGAGACCAUAUAGCCGAGGAGACAAUCUCCUAUUUUAUAACAAGACCUGGCAGAGACAUAGCUGCUGAUCGAAAGAAAAAUGACGUGCAAAUUGCAUUUGAAGAAGCAGGCAAGAUUCAGCAAAACAAAGUGAAAACAAAAGCACAUUGAAGACUGCUUCAAAAAUUGUCAACAUGGCCGAUAUGAUUUGGUUUUCUUCAUAUACCGAGCAUGCGGCAAGUACAAAGAGGAUUUAGUGGAAAAUCGGACAGAAGAAAAUAUAGCUCACAGUCAUGUGCAAAUAGCACCAAUGUACAGACAGGCAGGGGCGUCACUUGAGGGGGAUAUGGGGGAAGGGGGUGGUUCCAGAAAGUAGGACCUUUUCGCAGAGCAAAACUGAUUUUUGCAGGGCAAAUGUUCUCUACCAACGGAUCUGCUUUGUUGUCUUUCUUAUGUAACUGUAACAAGAUAGUAGGUUAUGCUUGUAAUUUGUCUACUCCAAAAAUAAAAUGAUACAGACUACCAGUGACACGAAGUAGAAAUUGCCAGCGUGAUCUUGGGCUGGAUGGAAUAGAUUUCUAAAUUGAUCCUGAUUUCCUUUCAACUUAAGUGUUACACCCAUUUCUAUGAUUACACUCUUGCUUGAUAUUUGUGUCUUAUUUAAAACCAUACUAAAAAGACAAGCCCCGUUUGCCAGAAAACUAAGACAUUAUAAACGGGGCUAUUUGGGUAAAAGUAUGAUGGAAUAGUAUUGCAUAUUUGGGUCUAAAUUUGCUUUGAUUAUAACCAGAAGCGUGACUUCAAGAAGGGAGCCGACUAUAUACGGUUUUUAUAUCUAUUUUCUGUGGAUGACAUAAGGUGUAUUUUAUAAAUUCCUGUAGGUUUUCAAGCUUGUGUUUGCCAGAUAAAGAUUAUGAUCGAUAAAUCUACAAAGAUUAUGAUCGACUACGCCCCAUUGGGCAUUGCUCAAGAUAUGUUGUUCUAUUGUUGUCAUGAAUAUGUAGGCAUAACAACUUACCGCAUUUUAUGUGUUAAUGUUACGGUAUUUUAGUGUUACGGGGACUGGGGCCAGUUCCCAACAUUUCCAACUUUUGCCAGGGCAAAUCUUUUUCUACUGGGCAAAUAUGCAGCAACCCCCCCCCCCCCCUUAACAAAAAGUAUGAAGUGACGCCCCUGCAGUCAGGAUAAACUAUCGAUAAAAGGAAACAUUAAGACAAUUUAAAAUAUAUUGCUGGCAAUUUAUAGACAACAACAUCAAUUUCGCGUACGAUGUAAACACUUUAUCAGAGAAUACCUGGUUUAUGUUUCCAGAAUGCACAUGUCUCGUCGAACUCGACAAAAAGUCGGCUUGAUUAUAUGUCAUAUAACUCUUCCCUUUGAUUCUCUGCGGCAAACUUUGGAUCGAAACAAAAAAAAUGAAUAGUUAAACAAUUGUAAAUUCAAGGUAUACAUGCAUUUUAAAUCUCCAUCAAUGUCUGAUCCUUCCAGUUCACAAAGAAGUGUGCACUCCCUACAUCCCCCGGUAAA
Molecule: non-coding RNA, 2274 nt
Organism: Rhopilema esculentum
Lineage: Eukaryota; Metazoa; Cnidaria; Scyphozoa; Rhizostomeae; Rhizostomatidae
Source: RefSeq, a predicted model, not a curated record